UACGAAGGGGGCUAGCGUUGCUCGGAAUCACUGGGCGUAAAGGGUGCGUAGGCGGGUCUUUAAGUCAGGGGUGAAAUCCUGGAGCUCAACUCCAGAACUGCCUUUGAUACUGAGGAUGCUUGAGUUUCGGGAGAGGUGAGUGGAACUGCGAGUGUAGAGGUGAAAUUCGUAGAUAUUGGGAAGAACACCGGUGGCGAAGGCGGCUCUCUGGACCGACACUGACGCUGAGGCGCGAAAGCGUGGGGAGCAAACAGG
Molecule: ribosomal RNA, 255 nt
Filed under: uncultured bacterium
Lineage: Bacteria
Description: partial 16S ribosomal RNA
Rfam family: Bacterial small subunit ribosomal RNA
Source: RNAcentral